UACGUAGGGCGCAAUCGUUAUCCGGAAUUAUUGGGCGUAAAGAGCUCGUAGGCGGUUUGUCGCGUCUGCCGUGAAAGUCCGGGGCUCAACUCCGGAUCUGCGGUGGGUACGGGCAGACUAGAGUGAUGUAGGGGAGACUGGAAUUCCUGGUGUAGCGGUGGAAUGCGCAGAUAUCAGGAGGAACACCGGUGGCGAAGGCGGGUCUCUGGGCAGUAACUGACGCUGAGGAGCGAAAGCGUGGGGAGCGAACAGG
Molecule: ribosomal RNA, 253 nt
Filed under: uncultured bacterium
Lineage: Bacteria
Description: partial 16S ribosomal RNA
Rfam family: Bacterial small subunit ribosomal RNA
Source: RNAcentral